Molecule: ribosomal RNA, 440 nt
Filed under: uncultured bacterium
Lineage: Bacteria
Description: partial 16S ribosomal RNA
Rfam family: Bacterial small subunit ribosomal RNA
Source: RNAcentral
CCUACGGGAGGCAGCAGUAGGGAAUUUUGCGCAAUGGGCGAAAGCCUGACGCAGCAACGCCGCGUGAUCGAGACGCCCUUCGGGGUGUAAAGAUCUGUCAGUGGGUACGAAACUUGACGGUACCCACAGAGGAAGCACCGGCUAACUCCGUCCCAGCAGCCGCGGUAAUACGGGGGGUGCAAGCGUUGUCCGGACUCAUUGGGCGUAAAGAGGUCGUAGGCGGCAGGUAAAGUCGGGUGUGAAAGGCAGAGGAUCAAUUUCUGUACGGCACUGGAUACUUGCGAGCUAGAAUGCGGUAGAGGUAAAGGGAAUUCCUGGUGUAGCGGUGAAAUGCUUAGAUAUCAGGAGGAACAUCGGUGGCGUAAGCGCUUUACUGGGCCGUAAUUGACGCUGAGGAACGAAAGCCAGGGUAGCAAAUGGGAUUAGAUACCCUUGUAGUC